Long non-coding RNA from Salvia hispanica, 972 nucleotides. RefSeq lists it as uncharacterized. The record is from RefSeq and is a predicted model, not a curated record. NCBI's taxonomy places the organism in Eukaryota, Viridiplantae, Streptophyta, Magnoliopsida, Lamiales, Lamiaceae.
UUCCCCAUAUCUCCACUCCCUCAAAUCUCUCCAACAAACCAAAUCUCCACAAAAUUAUUAUAUAUCCCUUCUUAUAAUCUCAGUCAUUUAUCACCACUGUUCCAAAUUUCUUGUGCAACUUCUUCUUUUCCACAAAAGUCAGUUCCGUGACAUUACAGUUUGAAACCAAAGAGUUGUGAUCUUGAAUACCUUCUGCUUGUGCAAGUUUUCUUCCUUCCAAAGGGUGAACUUUGCACAUUAUUUGUGGUUGGAGCAGAAAGUGAUUGAGGAGCUAAGUGAACGAGGUGAGCUUUCUUUUUAAAUAAGGGCAAUGCCCUAAGUAUAUUUUUAUAUGAAAAUGAUAUGAAUAUUUGUCAUGCCGUGUUUUGUUUUAUCUAUGGAACCUAUCUGCUGUGGCUUUUGCCAUCUAUGGAUAAUCGAAUUAGGAUCUGGCUAGGGAGUGAGUCCCUACUCAGGCUAGUGUACACCAAUGGGGAUCGUGAGCCGUCUUUUGGGUCGGCCGGUCUAGUGACUUGGAAUGUGGCCACAUUCCUUGUCAUCAAUGGAUCGGAUAUGGUAGACAUCUAUGGGAAAAUGACUGCAGUCGAAUUUUACAAUGGAAAUGAUUUUAGUGUCUCGGACAUUUUUUUUAAGUUAAACCCCGAGAACACUCAAUGGUGGCAUGAUAAAUACUUUUUUAUAAAAUGUUUUCGACAUGAGUCCACUGAGUGCAUCAAGUACUCAGCCCUGCAUUUCUUUUGAAAAAUGUGCAAGUUGAGCUGUGACGAGCGCGGUGGGUGUUGAGCAUAAAAGUGAAGAAGAUAACAAAUAAAAGAUCUCGAAUAUAUUAUGUCUUCACACAUAGUAUUAUUCUUCUCUCGAAUGCUUCCGCUGAAUGUUGUUUCUUUUAUUCCAAGUAUUGUUGAGAUAAUAUUCGUUUCGAAUUGUUGAAUUGAUACUCUAAUUUUAUUCGAGCUAUUCCAUUUAUGUUGA